Aphis gossypii (cotton aphid) is the source of this 1268-nucleotide long non-coding RNA. RefSeq lists it as uncharacterized. The transcript is spliced from 3 exons. The record is from RefSeq and is a predicted model, not a curated record. Lineage: Eukaryota; Metazoa; Arthropoda; Insecta; Hemiptera; Aphididae.
AGGGAAAUUAACGUGUCGGUUAAUAGGUAUAUGUUAUACUGUUAUGUAUAAUGAUAUGCAUACGAUUUAUAAUCGUCAAGUGUGUAUUUGUUUUAAUUUUUAAUUGCCAUUAAUACUCAUCAUUGACUGCAAUUAUAUAUUAUAUAUUAUACAAAUGUAAAUUUACACCUAUGCAAAACCACUUUAUCCUUUCGUUAAAACUAAACGUAAUGCCCUGCGUAUAAUAUCAACACCCAGCAAUAACGACGUGUAGGAAUAGAGUGGAUAGAUUAUGCAUAAUUUAUGUAGACAUAUUUGGUGAAGAAGUACCUAACAAGUAACAAUAAACAAUGACAAUUAUCAUUUUAAUCCAUUUAAUGAAGUUGAAGACUGAAGCCAAUCGAAGGUAUACAUUUUUUUGUAUUCUGCAAUAUUUACUACAAUAUACAUACAUUCAAUUCAUUGUUGACUACGGUGAGGAUGUGUUUCCAAAUAAGUCGAAGAGCUGCAAAAAGUUAGACAGAUAGUAUGGUUAAUUUUUAAUGCCUAUAUAUAUGUUAUAUAUUUUAAAGAAAGGUGACCCACAAAUCAUACAACCCACGUUCAAAUCCAGCAUUGUGGCGACGGGACUACUAUCAUUUAUUAGACACAAAAAAAUGUUCAAUAUUCAAUCAUUGCAAUUUCUUAUGUUUACCAGGUAUAAUUAUUUGUCUUAUUAUUAUUUUACAUUUACAUAUAAAACAAAAAAAAAAACCUGAAAAAUUGAAAAGAAAUUAAUACAAAAUAUUAUAUUCAUCUUAAAAAUUUAUAUAUAAAAUAAAAUAUUAAUUAAUAUUAAUUUAAUAAUUAAAUGCUCUUAUCGCCGUCAAUUACAUCAUUAUUUAUCAGAUUAAUGAAUACGUGUCAGUGUGUCACGAAGUUAUCGUUGUUAUAUUGUUCAAUAAUAAAAAUAACGUAAUCUUUUUAUCGUUUUGCACGAAUUCUAAAUCGUUAUCCGUCGCUAAUAUAACAGUUUAGUUGUUAUUAUGUUAAGUAUUGUACAAGUUCGCAUGCAGUUUAAAAUAAAACAGAAAUUGACUCUGAGAUCGUAUUUUUUACAGAGUGGUUAAAUAGAGGUAUGUGCAGUAUAAAUAAAUAAUAAUUGAAUAGAAAAAAUUAAAAAAAAAAAAAAAAAUGUUUAGUUAUUUCAUAUAGCAUUAUAGCCACUCAUAAACUUAAGACCUAUAAGUUUGUAUAAUAAAUUACAUACAUAAUACGGGUCAAAAAUAAUAAAUUCCAAAUUUAUGAGA